GACGUAGGGCGCGAGCGUUGUCCGGAUUUAUUGGGCGUAAAGAGCUCGUAGGCGGUUUGUCGCGUCUGCCGUGAAAGUCCGGGGCUCAACUCCGGAUCUGCGGUGGGUACGGGCAGACUAGAGUGAUGUAGGGGAGACUGGAAUUCCUGGUGUAGCGGUGAAAUGCGCAGAUAUCAGGAAGAACACCUAUGGCGAAGGCAGCUCUCUGGGACGGUACUGACGCUGAGACGCGAAAGCGUGGGGAGCGAACAGG
Molecule: ribosomal RNA, 253 nt
Filed under: uncultured bacterium
Lineage: Bacteria
Description: partial 16S ribosomal RNA
Rfam family: Bacterial small subunit ribosomal RNA
Source: RNAcentral